GGCUCUGUUGACGUCUGCACACGGCCGGAAAGCGCCUUCUGCGCGGCAAGUUGGUGACCGCAAGGGUUGCCGAACAAGUCUCGAAGCUGUGUCUUAAAUGAAUCCCAACUGGUGAGCUCAUCUUCAUGCGUGCGAUACCAAACUCUAGGUGUGCCACCGAGGUAAAAGACUACGUUGGCGAGCAUAAUAGUAGGGUCCCACCGGUUAUUGCGGCUGACGUGUUCAUACAGGCUGAUACAGUCAUCGACGUCUUCCCCAUCUUUGCCCGAGAAUACGCCAGGAUCACGAGGAGCGGGGAGAGUGAUGUAGGUCGUCGAGGUGGCAGCAGGUGUCGGAGCCGGCGGAGUCGGGUUGUCGUCGCCGGGAGCCAUGAAGGAAGGCUCGACGUACCGUCCACUGCGAAGCUCCGUGACGAGCGGACAUUGACAAUGGGCAGCAAGUCAACUACAUUCAGUCAGGGUUUCGCAAGGCAAGAAGUGCUAUAACUUCAUGUGUUGUCUCGACAUGAACUAGCAUUUUGUAUGGAUCAGUGCAUCUACAAUCGUCUGUGCGCUGUCUGUCCCUUGGGCGAUACUCAACCAUAGUUCUCAGGCAUGUUCUGUACCUCCUCGUGAACCUUCUCAACGGGACCCAACGAUGAAUGAUCAAGUUGCCAACUGAUAGGGGGAGAGCUAUGUAAACGCUUUACUGUCAAAGCUAUGUGUGUAUGUACAUCUAUUCAUAGGUGUAUGUUGUCCAAGUCUCAUCCAUACUCUUUUGUCACACUGAAGCCAGUGGGUCUUGAGUCUUUUUACUCGAGCCCAACACUGCAUAUUGUUUGAAUGGAAAAAUAAACAUAUUCCCUCUACUAGUCUGUGUCUCAAAGAUGCCUUGCCACAACACUAAGUUAACACGAACGGUGAAAAGUUGACCCAGCAACAUUGCCUUGUGGACUGCUAUACAAUGGUAUUCUACAUAAAUUACUUUUGUUACAAUAUCUGAUCGAUGAAUUAAAUAUUGCCUGUUUGCACCAUCCAAGCGCCCAAUACAGCUCAACCAAGCAACUAUCUUGGGCACAAGAAUUUUACAAAUGUCUUAUCACAUGCAGCUUGAUUUUUGAAUGAGCAACAGUACUAUUACGUUUGCAGUACUCAGUUCAUGGCAUUUGGCUAAUCAAGGAUGCUACGCCUUUCACAUUUGCUGCUUCUAUGAACGUCUGUGCUUAUGGCUAUGUAUGGUAUGAUAUGUGUGAUGUUCCGCCGAAGAAGACUGAAGAGACAAGAACAAUGAUCUGUAGCUACGAUCUGCUCAUAGGUGAGCUGCGUCGUACAAUGGCAUCCUAAUUCACUUAACAGUGUAUUGUAUUCUGCCCUGAUAUAAACACCUGCUGAAUCUUGUCUCUUGAGCAUUGCACAUCCAAAAUAUUUACAUUUUCUUUCUUUUUUCUUCUUCUGUGUGCUAAACCUUCCGACAUGGAAGGUUUACCUUACUACCUUAAACCUUACUACCAUUUUUCCCCGCUCCUGUUACAGAAAUUGUAUAAUGAUUAUAGAGCUCAUAUGUACUGCCUUGUUCAUCCAAACUUAUCUAUGUCCGCGCCUACUUGAACUGUGUUCUCUUGAAUAUGUAUUCUGCCCCUUUCCUGCAACAGCCUCAAAUGUGAGGCUAGCAGUAUGACAGGUUUCUGGCAACUGGCGGUUCUAUGAUCGACAUUGCUAUGAGCUACCGCAUGCAUGUAAGCACGGUCUCCGGCAUUCUGAAAGAGACCCUGCCUGCCAUUUGGGACUGCCUUUCCCCACUUGUGCUGCGAGAGCCGACCUCAGAAGAAUGGGAGCUCAUCAGAGAGGGGUUGGACAAGAAAUGGGACUUUCCCAAUGCUGUCGGGUGCAUAGAUGGCAAACACUUCGCAAUUACGUGCCCUGACGAGAGUGGUUCGGAGUAUUAUAAAUACAAGGGGUUUUAUUCAUUA
Molecule: non-coding RNA, 1948 nt
Organism: Dermacentor andersoni
Lineage: Eukaryota; Metazoa; Arthropoda; Arachnida; Ixodida; Ixodidae
Source: RefSeq, a predicted model, not a curated record